RNAcentral lists this ribosomal RNA (406 nucleotides) under uncultured bacterium. RNAcentral's name for it is "bacterial SSU rRNA". It matches the Rfam family "Bacterial small subunit ribosomal RNA", at positions 29 to 431 of the family's 1533-position model. The record is from RNAcentral.
AUUGAACGCUGGCGGCAUGCCUUACACAUGCAAGUCGAACGGCAGCACGGGUGCUUGCACCUGGUGGCGAGUGGCGAACGGGUGAGUAAUGCAUCGGAACGUACCCGGAAGUGGGGGAUAACGUAGCGAAAGUUACGCUAAUACCGCAUAUUCUGUGAGCAGGAAAGAGGGGGAUCGCAAGACCUCUCGCUUUCGGAGCGGCCGAUGUCGGAUUAGCUAGUUGGCGGGGUAAAGGCCCACCAAGGCGACGAUCCGUAGCGGGUCUGAGAGGAUGAUCCGCCACACUGGGACUGAGACACGGCCCAGACUCCUACGGGAGGCAGCAGUGGGGAAUUUUGGACAAUGGGCGCAAGCCUGAUCCAGCCAUGCCGCGUGAGUGAAGAAGGCCUUCGGGUUGGUUAAAGAC